This 253-nucleotide ribosomal RNA is filed under the name Faecalibacterium prausnitzii. RNAcentral describes it as "partial 16S ribosomal RNA". It matches the Rfam family "Bacterial small subunit ribosomal RNA", at positions 524 to 776 of the family's 1533-position model. Lineage: Bacteria; Bacillati; Bacillota; Clostridia; Eubacteriales; Oscillospiraceae. The record is from RNAcentral.
AACGUAGGUCACAAGCGUUGUCCGGAAUUACUGGGUGUAAAGGGAGCGCAGGCGGGAAGACAAGUUGGAAGUGAAAUCUAUGGGCUCAACCCAUAAACUGCUUUCAAAACUGUUUUUCUUGAGUAGUGCAGGGGUAGGCGGAAUUCCCGGUGUAGCGGUGGAAUGCGUAGAUAUCGGGAGGAACACCAGUGGCGAAGGCGGCCUACUGGGCACCAACUGACGCUGAGGCUCGAAAGUGUGGGUAGCAAACAGG